UGGGGAAUUUUGGACAAUGGGCGCAAGCCUGAUCCAGCCAUGCCGCGUGCGGGAAGAAGGCCUUCGGGUUGUAAACCGCUUUUGUCAGGGAAGAAAUCUUCUGAGUUAAUACCUCGGGAGGAUGACGGUACCUGAAGAAUAAGCACCGGCUAACUACGUGCCAGCAGCCGCGGUAAUACGUAGGGUGCAAGCGUUAAUCGGAAUUACUGGGCGUAAAGCGUGCGCAGGCGGUUUUGUAAGACAGAGGUGAAAUCCCCGGGCUCAACCUGGGAACUGCCUUUGUGACUGCAAGGCUUGAGUGCGGCAGAGGGGGAUGGAAUUCCGCGUGUAGCAGUGAAAUGCGUAGAUAUGCGGAGGAACACCGAUGGCGAAGGCAAUCCCCUGGGCCUGCACUGACGCUCAUGCACGAAAGCGUGGGGAGCAGACAGGAUUAGAUAGCCCUGGUAGUCCACGCCCUAAACGAUGUCAACUGGUUGUUGGGAAGGUUCCUUCUCAGUAACGUAGCUAACGCGUGAAGUUGACCGCCUGGGGAGUACGGCCGCAAGGUUGAAACUCAAAUGAAUUGACGGGGUCAUAGCUGUUUCCUG
Molecule: ribosomal RNA, 587 nt
Filed under: uncultured bacterium
Lineage: Bacteria
Description: partial 16S ribosomal RNA
Rfam family: Bacterial small subunit ribosomal RNA
Source: RNAcentral